GAUGAAGAACGCAGCGAAAUGCGAUAAGUAGUGUGAAUUGCAGAAUUCAGUGAAUCAUCGAAUCUUUGAACGCACAUUGCGCCCUUUGGUAUUCCUUAGGGCAUGCCUGUUCGAGCGUCAUUUAAACCUUCAAGCUCAGCUUGGUGAUGGGUGACUGUCCCCCCCUCGCGGGGGGACUCGCCUCAAAAACAUUGGCGGCCGGUACAUUGGCUUCGAGCGCAGCAGAAACGCGGUCUCGAGCCCGGUGGAUCGGCUCCCAUAAGUCUAUUCUUUUAUUUUGACCUCGGAUCAGGUAGGGAUACCCGCUGAACUUAAGCAUAUCAAUAAGCGGAUGA
RNAcentral lists this unclassified non-coding RNA (335 nucleotides) under soil metagenome. RNAcentral's name for it is "partial contains 5.8S ribosomal RNA, internal transcribed spacer 2, and large subunit ribosomal RNA". The stretch from base 1 to 120 matches the Rfam family "5.8S ribosomal RNA", at positions 35 to 154 of the family's 154-position model. The record is from RNAcentral.